GUCUAGCCCCGAUGGAAACGAUAUCCUUUUUGUUGACUGAGGUUCUCGAAGGCAACAAAAAGAUUUAGUGAGCAGCGGGAAUUACA
Molecule: small RNA, 86 nt
Filed under: Flavobacterium terrae
Lineage: Bacteria; Pseudomonadati; Bacteroidota; Flavobacteriia; Flavobacteriales; Flavobacteriaceae
Description: Flavo-1 RNA
Rfam family: Flavo-1 RNA
Source: Rfam by way of RNAcentral